ACAGUAUAAGCGAAGCUGAAGUUUGAAAACACAUUACAGUUUGUUCCUUGGCUCUCAAACCCCCUCAGUUAAAAAUCCAGGCAAAAUUAUUAUACCCAAUACAGUAGCCAUCUGUAAAACCUCAGAACAGUAAACAAGGGGCAGGAAGAAAUGUCUCCAUCUCUCUUAAAUUGAAAAUAAGGAAAAACACUAGAGAAUCAGACUUUAGCUCUAUUAUGUAGGAAUAGUCAUGCAAAGAUCCCUCUUCUCUUCCUAAGGGGGAAAGUGCCUGCUGCUGGACACUGUAUAGGUAAAGACCUUAACGGUGCUCUAAGUGGGCACUUAAAACUUCGCCUGCAGAUAACUACUUCCUAGAGAUGGGAACUUAACUAGGAAGCAGUUUUUAAGACGAUCACUGAAAGGGUUCAGUUGGUCACAUGGAGCAUGGACAGUAGUCACAGGGAUACUCCAUCUGGAGGAUCGGGGUGAAAUAAGGGGCUGAUGAGGGAGCCAGGAAGAGUAAAACAUUAAAUCUGCUUAAAGUAGCUGACAAUGCUAUGCCUUAAGAAAAACAAAAAAGAGUAUUCUGCUACAAUGUGUCUGUAAGGCAAUGCUAAAAAGGUCGGAAAGAAAUCCAAUUUGAGUUUUUGGUUAGUGGCCAUAUGCAACUUCCCUUGAAGCUAUGCACCAGUGUGAGCGUAACGUCCUAGAGAUGUGAACACGUAGCCAUGUCAGACAUUUAUACCCUCUGUUCUAAAAGAAAUAUGGGAAAACAAAGUCAGUCCUCCCUCAAAUGCACCAACCGGACCGAUAGGAAAAGAACUGGAAAAUGCAGUUUCACCAAAGCAGACGGGGUGGACGUUCCUUUCCAUCAAACUGUCGAGGAGGGGGAGGGGGGCAUACAGAAUGGCCGGAGGGUAUUUUCUGGAAGCCAAAGAGAGAUUAAACGACGACUCCUACAUCCCCCCUGUUUAAGUGUUGCAACUAAUUCGAAUCCCAUUUUCUUCUUCAUGUUAAUUAUCUGGACUCCCUGAGUCCUUUGGAGCUCAGCUCCAGGUGUCCUGGAGAUUAGGAGCUCGAGAAGACGGGAAAUUUUGGAACAAUAACUAGUGGGAACUGUUUAUUAGAAGGGCCGAGGGUAGGUGGCUGCGUUUGGUUUUUUGCGGCAACCUUCUCUUUUGGAAAUAUUGUUUCUAACGAAAUCCCCGAGCACCUGGCUCUGUGUGCGUGGCUGUUUUCCCUCUGCGUGCCGUGUGGGGUGUCGGCUGCUUGUGCUUAGCACUGUUGCAAAUCUUCUGAUGGGCUGCACUUAGAAGGGGCUCUACCAGAAAACACGCACCCAAGUUGGUUUUGAGCUGUGGGGAGGGAGGUUGACAUUUUCCACGUGAAGUCGUCUCUCCUGGGGGAAAGAGCAGCGGGACGCGGGAGGAAGACGUCCCUCUCUCCCCACAGGUUCGGGAAGUUCCAGCAAAGGCAUUUCUGCCGCCGGGAGGUCUCUUCUGAUUCGUGUGGGGGCUGCUCCGAACAUCUGCGGGCGCCUCUCGGGGCGCACCGUCCGGGAUGUGGUGGGUGCGGCGCUGGAGGAACACGGCCGCCGCCGCCCCCUUCCCUCGGGUGGAGGGGCAGGUUGUUCGUGUGAACUCGAGCGAACGACUGGAGGUUGGCUGGUGCAGGUUCACUCCUUCAGGAUGUGGGUUUCAGGGGGCGUUUUGAUGUGAUUUAAUUCCGACCGUGAAACAAUUGCUAGGGGCUGGCAGGAUUGCUGUUGGUUUUUCCCCUCUUGGUGGCUUUGGUUGGUUGGGGUUGAGUUUGGGAGCGAACAGUGACUUGUUUUAUAUCAACACUUCCUUCUGCCCCGGAACGGAGGAGGGGGGGAGCGGAGACCGGCCUCGCACCCCCAGGGCCCCUUUGUGUGACUAAAUUUGGCAAGAAUAUGGAUCCGCGCCAGUCUUUCCACGUGUGCUCCCAGCUCCCAGCUGAGAAGGCCAAGGGUUCUCUUCCGGGAAAACCAGCUGGGCUAUUAAAGGCCCCUCUUCACACAGAGCAGAGCAAGAGAAGGCAGGUUUCAGAGCGAAUCGCUGUCUACCAUCAAAGCAGACGGGGUUCCACACAGACAUGAUGAAUAGAAGAUGAAAGUUGAUUU
RNAcentral lists this long non-coding RNA (2122 nucleotides) under Equus asinus (donkey). RNAcentral's name for it is "lncRNA (ENSEASG00005028896.1)". The record is from RNAcentral. Lineage: Eukaryota; Metazoa; Chordata; Mammalia; Perissodactyla; Equidae.